RNAcentral lists this ribosomal RNA (433 nucleotides) under uncultured bacterium. RNAcentral describes it as "partial 16S ribosomal RNA". It matches the Rfam family "Bacterial small subunit ribosomal RNA", at positions 29 to 507 of the family's 1533-position model. The record is from RNAcentral.
AACGAACGCUGGCGGCAUGCCUAACACGUGCGAGUCGAACGAGACCUUCGGGUCUAGUGGCGCACGGGUGCGUAACGCGUGGGAACCUGCCCUUAGGUUCGGAAUAACUCCCCGAAAGGGGUGCUAAUACCGGAUAAUGUCUUCGGACCAAAGAUUUAUCGCCUUUGGAUGGGCCCGCGUUGGAUUAGCUAGUUGGUAGGGUAAAAGCCUACCAAGGCGACGAUCCAUAGCUGGUCUGAGAGGAUGAUCAGCCACACUGGGACUGAGACACGGCCCAGACUCCUACGGGAGGCAGCAGUGGGGAAUAUUGGACAAUGGGCGAAAGCCUGAUCCAGCAAUGCCGCGUGAGUGAUGAAGGCCUUAGGGUUGUAAAGCUCUUUUACCCGGGAUGAUAAUGACAGUACCGGGAGAAUAAGCUCCGGCUAACUCCGUG